AGCCGGAUAUUCAAGUUCCCGGGAAAAUCCAGCGGCUUAACCGUUGGAAUUCCGGGGAUACUGUAUGUCUCGAGGUCGGGGGACGGUAUGGGUACUCCGGGUGUAGGGGUGAAAUCUUCUGAUCCCCGGGGGACCACCUGUGGUGAAAACGCAUACCGAAAACGAGCCUGACGGUGAGGGACGAAGCCUGAGGGAGCGAACGGGAUUAGAUACCCCGGUAGUCUCAGGUGUAAACAAUGUCCGUUUGGUGUUGCAUACACUACGGGUGUGUGCAGUGCCGAAGCGAAGGCGUUAAACGGACCGCCUGGGGAGUAUGACCGCAAGGUUGAAACUUAAAGGAAUUGACGGGAGAGCGCACAACCAGGGGAGCAUGUGGUUCAAUUCGUUAAUAAGCGAUGUACCUUACCUGGGUUUGACAUGCUAGCGUCCUAUUCUGAUGAAAGUCGGAAAAUUUGUAAAAAGGCUAGUACAGCUGUUGCAUGGCUGUUGUCAGCUCGUGCCGUGGGGUGUCCACUUAAGUGUGGAAACGAGCGCAACCCUUAUUCUGUGUUCAAUAGUCACAGGAAACUGCCUCGCGUAGAGUGGGGAGGAAGGAGGGGAUGACUUCAAGUCAGCAUGACGCUUAUGUCCAGGGCAACACACAUCCUACAAUGGGGAGUAACAACGGGUCGCCAAGCCGCAAGGCGGAGCUAAUCCCAACAAAACUCCCCCCAGUUCAGAUUGGAGGCUGCAACUCGCCUCCAUGAAGCCGGACUUGGUAGUAAUCGCAGAUCAGCAGGCUGCGGUGAAUACGUUCUCGCUCUUUGUACACACCGCCCAUCAAGCCAGCAAAGUUGGGGGCGCCUGAUAUCCCGAUUUUUUCGGGACAAGGGCGAACUCAGCGAUGAGGGCUAAGUUGUGAAUUUGUUGCAACUUACAGAAGCAAUUUUGUAAAAAAAUCUCGCUG
Molecule: ribosomal RNA, 946 nt
Filed under: Candidatus Amesiibacteriota bacterium
Lineage: Bacteria; Candidatus Amesiibacteriota
Description: bacterial SSU rRNA
Rfam family: Bacterial small subunit ribosomal RNA
Source: RNAcentral